GGGGUUUUAGCUCAGUGGUAGAGCGUUUGCCUAGUAAGCGCAAGGCCCUGGGUUCGGUUCUCGGCUCCA
Non-coding RNA from Rattus norvegicus (Norway rat), 69 nucleotides. Lineage: Eukaryota; Metazoa; Chordata; Mammalia; Rodentia; Muridae. The record is from Rfam.